Molecule: non-coding RNA, 825 nt
Organism: Chelmon rostratus (copperband butterflyfish)
Lineage: Eukaryota; Metazoa; Chordata; Actinopteri; Chaetodontiformes; Chaetodontidae
Source: the annotation of a RefSeq genome assembly
AUGAGCUCACUGGUUCUACUGCUGGCCACCCUGGGGCUCCUGGUUCAGGGUUCAUCAGGACAAAUCACCCUGACUCAGUCUCCUGAAUCUCAGUCUGUUGUUCCAGGACAGACUGUCUCCAUCAGAUGUAAAACCAGUUCAGGUGUUUACAGCAAUCUCCACUGGUACCUUCAGAAACCUGGAGAAGCUCCUAAACUCCUGAUUUAUUAUGCUACAAGCCGUCAGUCUGGAGUUCCAGGUCGUUUCAGUGGAAGUGGAUCUGGGACUGACUACACUCUGACCAUCAGUGGAGUUCAGGCUGAAGAUUCAGGAGUUUACUACUGUCAGCAGAGUAACAGCUUCCCGUUCACACAGUGAUACAACGUCGUACAAAAACCUCCCUCAGCUGGAGAGGAACUGAUCUGAAUCAACAGCUGCACUCAAACUAAAACUAAAGGCUUUACUAAAAAUAAACAAUUAUUUAUAAUUUCCUUUGAAUAUUUGAACACUAAAUAUACUGUACAUAACAAAAAGUUAUACUUUUAAUGUUUUCAUACAAACAAGGUUUGAUACUGAUGAUACUGUUGAAGUAAUACUUCACUUUGAUCAGGUCAUUCACUGGAGUAUGAUGACAUGUGGACAAUCAAUUUGUAGAUAUUAAUUUUAUUUCUUUCCAUUUUUCAUAGAAACUAAAAUAUUAAUUUUCUGGAUGAUAAAAUGUCAUCUCAGUAAUAUUUCAUUCAUGUUGUAAAAAUACUAAUCACAUCUAUAACAUAUUUAAUUGUUUUCAUUUUUUUGUCCAACAAAUUUGUAUUUUAUGAUUUAGACCAAAAUAAUUUAUGAAGU